Podarcis raffonei (Aeolian wall lizard) is the source of this 906-nucleotide long non-coding RNA. RefSeq lists it as uncharacterized. NCBI's taxonomy places the organism in Eukaryota, Metazoa, Chordata, Lepidosauria, Squamata, Lacertidae. The record is from RefSeq and is a predicted model, not a curated record. The transcript has 3 exons.
AAGACACUGAAAUGGUGAUGUGAUGAAUAGACACAUUGGUUGCAUUUAUUAGUUGAGAAGAAGUCACCAGAAGGUUGUCGUGCAAUGGACCUUUGAGAAACCUAUUGCUUCUGUUCCCACAUGGAAGGCUUUUUUUAAAAAAAGGGUUCUGAAAUACAUUGGAUGCACCCCCAAAUCUGCAGCAAUCAUCAUGGCAGUUUAGGGAUCACUUAUAGAAACAUUAAAAUGCCCAGUGAAUAAUGAGGAAAUAGGAAGGCCGGCCUACAACCUGGGAAUCUAACUGAUAAGAAAUUAACAAGGGAAUCCAAAUCGACUCUGCUCUUGAUACAUCCCAACUAAUAAAGGAUAAUUAACACCGCCGAAACAUUUUUGACAUUUCUGUGGUCCUUGCCACAUAUUUUGGGCUAGAUGAGAGGUCGUCUUGCUCCGUGGGAAAAUCCAUGGCUGUGUAUGACCCAGAUUCAAGCCACACAAUCUCCAUUUAUUUAGUUGCCACACACCUGCUGGAAAUGAACAAGGACACUUCUCUGGUGAGCACAAGAACUCAGCGGCAGGAGGGGGCUUGGCCUAGGGACAGUCUCAAGGGUCAAAAAGAGGCCUCGAGGGCCACACUCAUCACCCAAGGCUUAAAGGUCCUCACUCUUUCUUGAAGGCACUUGCAGGAAGGCAGCUGAUCAGAAUUCUAGGGGGCCCCACAAGACAAGCUGGUGCUUCCAACAAAUGCCAUUUUCCAGCAAUGCAAUUUUACACAUUAAAUCACUUUUUCUCUGCUAGUAAAAUGGUUGCUUUCAAGUAUAAACUGUAUGAUCAGGGAAUAUGACAAUGAGAAGGGAAAGAGCAGAAAACAUUAAGAGUGCACUGUGGUUUUAAGAAGGGCAUGAUUAUAAAUGACAGGGGGAGAUGCUA